UACGUAGGGGGCAAGCGUUAUCCGGAUUCACUGGGCGUAAAGGGAGCGCAGGCGGCAUGGUAAGUCUGAUGUGAAAACCCGGGGCCCAACCCCAGGAGUGCAUUGGAAACUGCCAGGCUGGAGUGUCGGAGGGGUAAGCGGAAUUCCUAGUGUAGCGGUGAAAUGCGUAGAUAUUAGGAGGAACACCAGUGGCGAAGGCGGCUUACUGGACGACUACUGACGCUGAGGCUCGAAAGCGUGGGGAGCAAACAGG
Molecule: ribosomal RNA, 253 nt
Filed under: uncultured bacterium
Lineage: Bacteria
Description: partial 16S ribosomal RNA
Rfam family: Bacterial small subunit ribosomal RNA
Source: RNAcentral